This 525-nucleotide ribosomal RNA is filed under the name uncultured bacterium. RNAcentral's name for it is "partial 16S ribosomal RNA". It matches the Rfam family "Bacterial small subunit ribosomal RNA", at positions 338 to 881 of the family's 1533-position model. The record is from RNAcentral.
CCCUUGGGAGACAGCAACGAUUGUAAUUUUAUGGCAAUGGAGCCCAACCGAGUCACACCGCGCCCGGGAGGAGGGCCAAGCCUUUGUGAUUUUAAAUUCCUUUUCCCCGGGAAGGAAGGGACGGUCCCCAUGCAAAAAACCCCCCCCAAAUUUCUGCCCCCACCCCCGGUAAAAUAGAGGGGGCGAGAGUUUUUCCGAAUCUUUGGGGGUAAAGGGCGCGUGUGGGGUUAUCCGUGUUGAAAAGAAAACCCGGGGCUCAAACCCGGAACGGCCCCCGGGAUUGCGGGGCUGGAGACCGGGAGAGGAGAAAUGAAUACCCAGGGUGGAGGGGAAAUUUGCAUUUAUUUGGGGGCAAACCCCUGGGCAGAGGGCCUCUUUGUUCCCGUUUGGAGGGGGGGGCGGGAAAAAUUUGGGAGCAAACAAGGUUAGAGACCCUGGUAUUCCCCCACCUAAAAGUCCAGGCCAGAGUGUCGGGACUGUCCCUCGGUGUCGAAGCUAACGCGAUAAGCGCGCCGCCUGGAGACC